This is a long non-coding RNA of Saccostrea echinata, 5579 nucleotides long. RefSeq lists it as uncharacterized. The record is from RefSeq and is a predicted model, not a curated record. NCBI's taxonomy places the organism in Eukaryota, Metazoa, Mollusca, Bivalvia, Ostreida, Ostreidae. The transcript has 6 exons.
CAUUUUCAGAUGUUUAUUUUUUGCGAAUGUGUGCAUUUGGCCGGAAAACAAUCUGACAUUCCACCUUGAGAUGUUAUUUGAGAGUUGUUCCGUCCUUAAAUGUAAAGCAAGGAUUUAAAACAGUGUGAGAAAAGGUUAACAUUGUCGCCUAUGGGAAAUGUAUUGGUGGACUGUAUACCCCAUAUAUAUUGAGUACGUCUAUUGGUUCAUGGUGAUACAGGAAAACUUCAAGGUUCCUGCAGAUGGUGUUUAAAACUAUUGGCCAGUGAACACAAACCCAUUUAAUUAUAUUUUGAACCUUCACCAGGAGAAAAAAGAUGGCAGUACUUCUAAUGCAAGCAGCUACUAGGGAAGAUUUAAUGAAGGAAGAUGAGGAAGUGGAGAAAAAGCUGAAGAACAAGGAGGACAAGGGCACAGUGACUUGCAGUGUGUGUCAUGUAACAUUAUUACAACAUCUAUAUCAUGGGUCCAUAAUUUUAAGUAAGUCAUUCAUCAACCACUUUAUCUGUACUGGAAACCAUUUCUGAGAGGGAUGAAGUGAUGGAAGAUAAUGAGCCAGAGGGUGGAACGGAAGAGAAAGGGAAAGAAAUAAAGAAAAAGGCAGAAUGAAAAAGGACUAGAACUUGCAAUAGAAGAAAAAGUUGAGGAAAUGAAGAGGAAGAAAUUGAAGAUGAAAAGAAGAGCUCUGGGAGGAAAAAAUUCCAUUUGUAAGAUGUGUGGACAAAAGAAAAACAGCCAUAGAGUGCCGAUGUGGAGUGGAAUAAGUCAGUAUGACUUAAACAUGGUCAAUUGAAGUGUUUGAAUGCCCCUCCAGAAAGCAGAACAAUCUUUGAAUUUGCAGGAAAGAGUAUAAAAUUUGCUGUUAAAAUAUCAUAACAGCUAGACAAAGAUUAAAUAACAACUACAUGUACAUCUAAAGAAUUCUUUUGUCAUAAUAGUGAUUCAUGUGCUAGUACAUGUGACAAGUGCUAUAACGACCUAAUAUAAGUGUGUUUUAGGAGCAUGUUGACUCUAUUGUAAAUGUAUUGACUCCUUAUAUGACCUCAUUUAUAUAUAACAUUAUAUGAAUGGUAGUGUAGUGACUUGAAAUGUGUGUUAGUAGUAUAGCUCGUUAUGUGUGGUAAUUUUGUUAUUUGUUUUACAUGUAUGAUAGUACAUAUAGUAUGGUGACUCAUGUGUUGGGAAUUAAUGUAUAAUUUUAUGUGUGUUACUGGUAUAACUCAUAAUGUGUGUAAAUAUUGUUUUUUGUAAUAUAUAUUAGUAGUGUAGUGACUCGACAUGUGUGUAAGUAGUGUAGUGACUCGACAUGUGUGUUAUGAGUGUAGCUUAUGAUGUGUGGUUAUUUUGUGUACGUAUGUAGUAUGGUGACUCAUGUGUUAGGAAUGUAUAAUUUUAUGUAUGUUACUGAUAUGCCUCAUCGAGUGAUUUAAAAUGGUUAUUUGUAAUGUAUAUAUUAGUAGUAAAGUGACUCGACAUGUGUGUUAGUAGUGUAGUGACUCGACAUGUGUGUUAGUAGUGUAGCUUAUUAUGUGUGGUAAUUUUGUUAUUUGUUAUGUGAGUUGUACAUGUAGUAUGGUGACUCAUGUGUUGGGAAUGUAUAAUUUUAUGUGUGUUACUUGUAUAACUCAUUGUGUGUGUUUUAAUAUAGUUAUUUGUAGUGUAUAUAUUAGUAUUGUAGUGACUCCACAAGUAUGUUAGUGUGUAGUGACAUGACAUGUGUGUUAGUAGUGUAGUGACUCGACAUGUGUGUUUGAAGUGUAGCUUAUUAUAUGUGGUAUUUUUGUUAUAUGUUAUGGUUGUUGUAUAUGUAGUACGGCAACUCAUGUGUUGGGAAAGUAUAUUUUAAUUUGAUGUGUGUUACUGGUAUAGCUCAUUGUGUGUUUUAAUAAUUUUUUUUGUAAUGUAUAUUUUAUUAGUGUAGUGACUCGACAUGUGUGUUAGUAGUGUAGUGACUCGACAUGUGUGUUAGUAGUGUAGUGACUCGACAUGUGUGUUAGUAGUGUAGCUUAUUAUGUGUGGUAAUUUUGUUAUUUGUUAUGUGUGUUGUACAUGUAGUAUGGUGACUCAUGUGUUGGGAAUGUAUUAUUAUAUUCUUGCUCCAAAAGAUACUGUUUUACCCUUGUCUGUCUAGCUGUGUGUGUGUCUGUCUGACUGUCCAUAACAAAUUUUUGGUCACAGUUUUCUCAGCAACUACUCAUUGCAGAUGCUUGAAAUUUUAGCAUACUCUUUGUUUAGGCUUGGUGGGAAUCAUUUUCAUACAAAUCUGAUGUCAACUUCCUGUUUAUCCAUGUGUCUGUCCAUACCACACAUAACACAUUUUCGUCGCAGUUUUCUAAGCACUACUUAUUGCUUGAAAUUUUAGCACACUCAUUGCUGAGGCAUGUCAUAUGGUGGGAUUCAUUUUUGUAUGAAUUUGAUGCCAACUUCCUUUUUAUCUGUGCGUCUGUCUGUACCAUACAUAACGAAUUUUUUUCGCAGUUUUUUCAGCAAUUACUCAGAGCAGAUGCUUGAAAUUUUAGCACAUUCUUUAUUUUGGCAUGCCAUAUCGUGGGAUUUAUUUUUGUACAAGUCUGAUGUCAACUUCCUGUUUAUCUGUGUGUCUGUCUAUACCAUAUAUAACAAAUAUUUGUUGCAGUUUCUCAUCAACUACUUAUUGCAGAUGCAUGAAAGUUUACACACUCUUUGUUUAGGCAUGCCAUAUGAUGGGAUUCAUUUCUGAAUUUGAUGUCAACUUCCUGUUUAACUGUGCAUCUGUCUGUAUAAUAUGGAACAAAUUUUUGUCAAAGUUUUCUCAGCAACAACUCAUUGCAGAUGCUUGAAAUUUUAGCACACUCUUUGUUGACGCAUAAUUGUCAUAUGGUGGGAUUCAUUUUUGUAUGAAUCUGAUGUCAACUUCCUGUUUAUUCAUGCAUCUGUCCAUAGUUGAACUUGUGAAUAUACACAUGAUAGUGUAUAUUCAAAUCACAGCGGAGGUAUUACCAGUGAGCAUUGGCUCACAGACUUCUUGUUUUAUGUGUGUUACUGGUAUAGCUCAUCAUGUGAUUUAAUGUUGUUAUUUGUAAUGUAUAUAUUAGAAGUGUAGUGACUCGACAUGUGUGUUAAUAGUGUAGUGACUCGACAUGUGUGUUUGUAGUGUAGCUUUUUAUGUGUGGUAAUUUUGUUAUUUGUUAUGUAUGUUGUACAUUUAGUAUGUUGACUCAUUACGUGUUGGGAAUAUGUGAUUUUAUGUGUGUUAUUGGUAAAGCUCCUCAUGUGUUCUUAUAUUGUUAUUUGUAAUAUACAGUGAAACUUGUCUUAUUCGGAUGUUGUGUACUCCAAAAACUUGACUUAUACAAUGUUAACUUUAAGUCACCUGCAGUAGACUCAAUUGUUUUAAAUGUUGUCUAAUCCGGAAUGUCGUCUAAUCCAGCGAAUUUCUCGACAUGUGUGUAAGUAGUGUAGUGACUCGACAUGUGUGUAAGUAGUGUAGUGACUCGACAUGUGUGUUAUGAGUGUAGCUUAUGAUGUGUGGUAAUUUUGUUAUUUGUUAUGUGAGUUGUACAUGUAGUAUGGUGACUGGUGUGUCGGGAUUGUAUAAUAUUAAAUGUGUUACUUGUAUAACUCAUUGCGCGAUUUAAAACUGUUAUUUGUAAGGUAUAUAUUAGAAGUGUAGUGACUCGAUAUGUGUGUAAGUAGUGUAGUGACUCAACAUGUGUGUAAGUAGUGUAGUGACUCGGCAUGUGUUUUAUGAGUGUAGCUUACGCAGGUGAGUUAAGGCUAGGUAUAGGCAUUUCUAUUGAAAUAAACUAAUUCAAGUGCCUAAGAACUAUAUCUAUUUUACAGAGAAAGUUAAAACUUAUUGUCUAAUUCAUACUUGGUACCCACGACAUGAGAUAGCCAGUACACAUUAUGACGUCAUAUUAUGACGUCAUUGUUCUUUACUGCACAAGAUUAUAAUGGACUUCAACAAAAAUGCUUCGGCGCAAGGGCAUGCUGUAUUUUAUUUAACUGAAACAAGGUAUAUUUUGAAGCAAAAUAUUCCAAAGAUUGUUGGUAUUGCUGCACAAAUAUCAACAGCUCAGUUGUAUAAUUUCUAUUUGUAAAGUUUUAAGUUGAAUCAGGGUGAAAAUACACAGUCCGGUAUAAGUUUCCUCAAAUUCCAAUCAAAUGAGAAAAUGCCUAGGAUUUGUGCAGCAGUUUUAUUAAUCUAUAGAAUAUUCUUCUUAGCAUUAUACAAUUUUUAUGUAAAAAUAAAUAGGGUAAUCCCUUGCGCCGAAGCUGUUUUGUUGAUGCGUUUUAUUGCCUCCAGUAGGUAAGAACAAUGACGUCAUAAUAUAUACUGGCUAUAACAUAUCGCGGGUACUAAGUAUGCAUAAGAAAAUAAAUCAAAACUUUCUCGGAAUAAUAGAUAUACCUCUUAUGCAUUUUUAUUAGCUCAUUUGCAUAGAAACGCCUAUACCUAGCCUUAACUCACAUGCGUAUGAUGUAUGGUAAUUUUGUUAUUUGUUAUGUGAGUUGUACAUGUAGUAUGGUGACUGGUGUGUCGGGAUUGUAUAAUUUUAAAUGUGUUACUUGUAUAACUCAUCGUGCGAUUUAAAACUGUUAUUUGUAAGUUAUAUAUUAGAAGUGUAGUGACUCGACAUGUGUGUAAGUAGUGUAGUGACUCGACAUGUGUGUUAGUAGUGUAGUGAAUCAACAUGUGUGUUAGUAGUGUAGCUUAUUAUGUGAGGUUAUUUUGUUAUUUGUUAUGUGAGUCGUACAUGUAGUAUGGUGACUCAUGUGUUGGGAAUGUAUAAUAUUAUGUGUGUUACUUGUAUUGCUCAUCGUGUGAUUUAAAAUUGUUAUUUGUAAGGUAUAUAUCAGUAGUGUAGUGACUCAACAUGUGUGUAAGUAGUGUAGUGUCUUGACAUGUGUGUAAGUAGUGUAGUUACUUGACAUGUGUGUUAGUUCUGUAGUGACUCGACAUGUGUGUUAGUAGUGUAGCUUAUUAUGAGUGGUACUUUUGUUAUUUGUUAUGUGAGUUGUACAUGUAGUAUGGUGACUCAUUUGUUGGGAAUGUAUAAUUUUAUGUGUGUUACUGGUAUAGCUCAUUGUAAGUUUUAAUAUUGUUACAUGUAUUUGUAAUACUUAUUUUGUAUUGUUAUUUUGAUUUGUUUGUUGUACAUGUAGCAUGGGAUUCAUUUUGUGUUGGGAAUGUAGAAUUUUACCUGCGGUAGUGUACAUGUAGCUCAUUUUGUGUGCUAAUAUUGUUAUUUUUAUGUGUAAUAGUCAUGUAGUGACUCAAUAUGUGUGUAAGUAGUGUAGCUCAUUAUGUGUUUUCAUGUUGAGUUAGUUUAGAAGAGUGUUGACUUACUGUGUAAGUUAGAGUAGCCUCUUGCUAUGUGUGAGCAUAAUAUAAAAAGACACUUUUUUAUGAUGUGUAUAUAAUUAUUAAAACAUUGCUAAAUAUAAUAUUAUAUCAACCUCUAUUGAUAAACUUGCAUGUGUUUGAAUUUCUAAUGUAAUGUAAGCUACAUGAAUAGAUCAUAUUUUGACUGAAUUUUGAAUGAGCACAAUUUGUGAUGAUUUUUAUUUUUGAAAUAAACAGAAAUUUAAUUUUC